This 467-nucleotide ribosomal RNA is filed under the name uncultured bacterium. Its description in RNAcentral is "partial 16S ribosomal RNA". It matches the Rfam family "Bacterial small subunit ribosomal RNA", at positions 28 to 507 of the family's 1533-position model. The record is from RNAcentral.
GACGAACGCUGGCGGCGUGCUUAACACAUGCAGUCGCACGGAAAGGCCCUGCUUUUGUGGGGUGCUCGAGUGGCGAACGGGUGAGUAACACGUGAGUAACCUGCCCUUGACUUUGGGAUAACUUCAGGAAACUGGGGCUAAUACCGGAUAGGAGCUCCUGCUGCAUGGUGGGGGUUGGAAAGUUUCGGCGGUUGGGGAUGGACUCGCGGCUUAUCAGCUUGUUGGUGGGGUAGUGGCUUACCAAGGCUUUGACGGGUAGCCGGCCUGAGAGGGUGACCGGCCACAUUGGGACUGAGAUACGGCCCAGACUCCUACGGGAGGCAGCAGUGGGGAAUAUUGCACAAUGGGCGGAAGCCUGAUGCAGCAACGCCGCGUGCGGGAUGACGGCCUUCGGGUUGUAAACCGCUUUCGCCUGUGACGAAGCGUGAGUGACGGUAAUGGGUAAAGAAGCACCGGCUAACUACGUG